GAGGGUAGAGCUCAAGGGUAGAGGGUGUGCCUAGCAUGCACGGGGUCCUGGGUUCAAUCCCUGGUACCUCCG
Molecule: transfer RNA, 72 nt
Filed under: Camelus ferus (Wild Bactrian camel)
Lineage: Eukaryota; Metazoa; Chordata; Mammalia; Artiodactyla; Camelidae
Rfam family: tRNA
About the family: Transfer RNA (tRNA) molecules are approximately 80 nucleotides in length. Their secondary structure includes four short double-helical elements and three loops (D, anti-codon, and T loops). Further hydrogen bonds mediate the characteristic L-shaped molecular structure. tRNAs have two regions of fundamental functional importance: the anti-codon, which is responsible for specific mRNA codon recognition, and the 3' end, to which the tRNAs corresponding amino acid is attached (by aminoacyl-tRNA synthetases). tRNAs cope with the degeneracy of the genetic code in two manners: having more than one tRNA (with a specific anti-codon) for a particular amino acid; and 'wobble' base-pairing, i.e. permitting non-standard base-pairing at the 3rd anti-codon position.
Source: Rfam by way of RNAcentral